Molecule: ribosomal RNA, 494 nt
Filed under: uncultured bacterium
Lineage: Bacteria
Description: partial 16S ribosomal RNA
Rfam family: Bacterial small subunit ribosomal RNA
Source: RNAcentral
AUUGAACGCUGGCGGCAUGCUUUACACAUGCAAGUCGAACGGCAGCGGGGAGGAGCUUGCUUCUCUGCCGGCGAGUGGCGAACGGGUGAGUAAUACAUCGGAACGUGUCGAGAAGAGGGGGAUAACCACCCGAAAGGGUGGCUAAUACCGCAUAAAUUCUGAGGAAGAAAGCUGGGGACCUAGGAAUAGGCCUAGCGCUUUUUGAGCGGCCGAUGUCGGAUUAGCUAGUUGGUGAGGUAAAGGCUCACCAAGGCGAAGAUCUGUAGCGGGUCUGAGAGGAUGAUCCGCCACACUGGGACUGAGACACGGCCCAGACUCCUACGGGAGGCAGCAGUGGGGAAUUUUGGACAAUGGGGGCAACCCUGAUCCAGCCAUGCCGCGUGUAUGAAGAAGGCCUUAGGGUUGUAAAGUACUUUUGUUAGGGAAGAAAAGGCAGCUGUGAAUAAUGACUGAUACUGACGGUACCUAAAGAAUAAGCACCGGCUAACUACGUG